UGGGGGAGUGUGGAGUGUAAAGAAAAAUUUUAUUUUUUAUUUUUUUAACUUAAACUUUUAUGACGCGCAUUUUUUUUAUCCUUUAUUUUAUUUUUUUGCCAUGUCAGUUUUAGGGGUAAAUAAAUUCACUUUUAGAUACUAAAGAUAUGUAAUAGAUUGUCAUAAUUUAAGCGUGUAGCUGAUUUUUCAAAACAAGUUCAAGGAAGAAUUUAUGUCUUUCCCUUUUUUCUUCAAUCCAAAUUCCAGAUUAUCAUAAAAGAUCAUUAAUCCACAACAUAAUUAGUCGUAAUAACACUAUAUAUAACAAGUAAUCGACAAAAAAUCUCUUGUGCUGCCAC
RNAcentral lists this long non-coding RNA (338 nucleotides) under Solanum tuberosum (potato). RNAcentral describes it as "long non-coding RNA (STUB_LNC006972)". The record is from RNAcentral. Lineage: Eukaryota; Viridiplantae; Streptophyta; Magnoliopsida; Solanales; Solanaceae.